Acinonyx jubatus (cheetah) is the source of this 14304-nucleotide long non-coding RNA. RefSeq lists it as uncharacterized. Lineage: Eukaryota; Metazoa; Chordata; Mammalia; Carnivora; Felidae. The transcript is spliced from 5 exons. The record is from RefSeq and is a predicted model, not a curated record.
CCGCCUGUACUUCGAGGUCAAAAAUCUACUGGGCGUGCCCGAGCUCCUGGCGCCGGGAGGAGGUCCGGCUUCCCGUCUGCUGCCCCUCGCCUGGGGCAGAGUGGGGCGUGGCUCCGCGCGCCUUGGGUCGCGGGUCGCUAGCAGGGCGACCGCUCCCGGGAGUUGGGUCCAGGGCUCAAGAGCGGGGCGGAAGUGGAGCAGUCCCUCCUUUCUCUCCUAGCUGCAGACACUCCGAGACUGGGUGCCCUUUUCCCCUCUCCAGGCACAGGCCUCCCUGGGCGGACGUGCAGAGUUUGGGAUAUGUGCACUGGGCGUUUCCCUCUCCCCAUUUUGUGCCUCCUGUCUCCGGUGCCAGUCUGCAGUGGUGCAAUUUGCUGGCGGACCGCAGAGCAGACGUCUUCUAGAGAUGUCCGAGUGGUUACUCACUGCAAGAACUGGUCAGAUACUUCUGAGAGCUGAGCACGGAACACGUUCCUCACAUGGACAGAAAUAACUGAAUGUAAGAUCAUUCCGCACAACUUCCCAUCCAUGUUGGAAUCCCUUCUGCAGAACCCCAGCUCCUAGUUGAAAACUUCUGGCAUCAAAAUGUCUUUUCUUCACAAGCAACCCAUUCUACUUUCUGUCACCUCUCAAGAACUUCAAGUCAGGAGGAGUCAUCUCCAAGCAUCCACACCUGAGGGGCUUCCUCUUCUCCAGACCUGAUGGAGAUGCUGAAGUUCUGGAUCUGAAGCAGAGAGAGUGUGCAAGCCAGGGAGAGGGGCAAAGGGAGUGAGAGAGAGACUCCUAAGCAGGUUCCACAUUCAGCGCAGAACCCAACACAGGGCUCAAUCCCAUGAUCCCGGGAUCAUGACCUGAACCAAAAUGGAGAGUUGGACACUCAACUGACUGAGCCACCCAGGCACCCCUAAUUAAGGGUCACCUCAUCCCUAAAGCUGAUUCGGCUGCUCUGGACCUUCUCUGUGGUUCCUGUGGACAUGAUAACUUGUGCUACUCAGAUCAAACAUCUGUCCUGUGCCAACCACCCCAGAAGUUAAUCUCCCUGAAGGGUGAAAACGGGCGCCACCUCUUACAUGAAGAAGGUACUAGAUAAAUAUUCACUUUUCUUCAGAACAAUUCAUCUUGGGCAGCCUCAAGAUAGGGGUUCUAGGAGUGUCCUUGGGUUGAUUAUUGGUGGAUUUCCAAAAACAGAGUUGGGAAUAUGCUCACAGUGAUCUAGAAAGUUGACAGAGUGUGAGUUCACUUGAACUUCUGUGGCCAUUUGAUAACCAGGGAUCCUAUCUGACUUGUCCACCACUGUGUCCCCAACUCACAGCAUAGCACCUGGGACUCAGAGGCACUGAGCAAGUGCUUGUGGGAAAUGAUGCAAGAAGGUACUUCUGAACAACUCGCAAUUGGAUCCAAUAUGCGUGAUUCCUAUCCUCCCCAGGACUUGUCCUGCAGCCUGGAGAAAGCUCUCUCAUCUCAGUCCUUACGGAGGAAUUCAGGAAACAAACCCUCCAGGACAAACCCUUUAGGAGACACCACCCAAGGCCUCUCUCUCCCAGCGGUUGUCCAGAGUCAGGGUUCCAGGGUUGACACUGCAAUGUCACCAAGAACACCAGUGCCCUCCCAUGCUUCUGCUCUCCCAUUCUUAGCAUUUCCAAGCUCUUGCUCUAGCAACUAGAGAGAGAGUCUAGGAAGUCACACAAGUGGUGUGCUCAGUGGCAGUGGAAAGCAAAGAAGUGGGACACACGACUUUUGGGCAGACCGUGAAUAGCACAUGCUACCAACUUGUUUGAAGAUAAGGGAAUAGGACUUGAAGAGAUGAAGUCCCUUGCCCAGUGCUCUGUAGUAGGUAAGUAGCAGAGAUGGGGUGUCUGAUUUUAAAGCCUUGUUACUACCACAUAAUCACUUGUCAUGGUGCAAGACAAAAGUGUGUGCUAUAGAGUGUGUGUGGGGCUGUGUAGGUUGUUCAGACACUAGGAACCUCUAUCGUAGGCACCAAUGAGUAGGGCAUUUCAGACACAGGCCCUCUGGACAUGUAACUCCUUCUCUUUGAGAAUGGAUCUUACUGGGUGGAGAAGGAAACAGUGGGAUGGUAAGGAGGGGCUGUAUGCCUUUACCUUUUUUGAACUUCUAUUUUGUUUGUUUAUUUUUAUUUUAGACAGAGAGAGAGCACAUGAGCGGGAGAAAGGGGCAGAAGGGGAGAGAGAGAGAAUCUUAAGCAGGUCCAUGUUCUGCACAGAGCCUGACACAGAGCUUGAUCCCAUGACCCUGGGAUCAUGACCUGAGCCCAAAUCAAGAGUCAGACGUUCAACUGACUGAGCCACCCGGGCGCCCCUAAACUUUUAUUUUUAGGUAUAAUAUACAUUCAGAAUAGUGCACAAAUUACAAGAGUAUAACUUGGUUAGUUUUCAUAAAGGGAACACACCUGUGUUCAGCACCCAGACUAAGAAGCAGAGCAUUACCAGUAUUUCAAAAGGCCUCUUUUUGUCCUUUCCAGUCUUUAUAUCCCCCUGCUGAGGAUUAACAUUAUCUGUAUCAAAGCAAUUUUGACUGUUUUGGUACCUCUCAUAAAUGAAACCAUACAGUACAUAUUCUUAUGUGUGAAUUCUUUGUUCAAAAUUAUGUUUGAGAUUCAUCCAUAUUGUUAUAUGAGUUGCGGUUCAUUCUCAUUGCUGUAUAAUAUUCCAUUUUGUGAAUAUAUGGCGAUAUAUUUCUCCAUUUUUACUGUUCAUGGGUAUUUUGGGUAACUUUUAGUUUUUAGCUGUCACAAAUAGUGCUACUCUGAGCAUUUUGAAUAUGUAGCCAAUUCUGUUGGAAAUACAUCUGGGAAGGUAUAUAUUUAAUUAUAGCAGACACUGCUAAAGAGUAUACAAAGUGGUUGUACCAAUUCACAUUCCCACCAUUAUAUGAAUUCCAGUUGCUCCAUAUUCUCGCCAACAUUUGAUAUUAUCAGUGCUUAUAAUUUAAGCUCUUCUGUCUGGUGGGUGUGUAAUGACGUCUCAUUAUGGCUUGGUAUGCAUUUGCAUUUCCUGCUUGAUUGAUAACAUUGAGCGCCGUUUUGUAUGAUUAUUGGUCACUUACGUGGCUUUAUCUUUAAACUUGGAGUGAGGAGGGAGAAAAAUGGGGAGAGACCUCCUGAGUAUGAAGGGGUGUGAGUGCUGGGUGUGGGGACGCUUGAGUGGCAUAUCUCUGUUGCUUGCAGACCGAGUAGAAGGGGAAGCCUGGGAAUGAGGGCUGUUGUAUCCAUGGAGUCACACUCACAGGAGAGGCAGUGAGAUGCUGAUAUGGGGAAAGGCUAGCUUUGGCUCAGGCAUUUACUAGCUGCCAUAUUUCAGGCAAUUUCCACCUCUGUCAAGGGGAAAGAAGAAUAACACCAACUGGAUAGUGUUGCUGUAAGAUUUAACUGAGAUGAAAUGUGGACAGUAUCUGGCACAGAGAUAUGCAGAGAUAAAUUGUCUACAGUGCCUGGCCUAAUAAAUGACAGCCAUUAUUCCUCUGGAAUGACUGGGGAGUGAGGACCAGAACAAGUGCGCUAUCAGUUGUGGGAACAACAGCAGAAUACCUUGUGACUUGUACGAGCCUUCCUCUGUGGCUUAGAAUCUUGCGUCUCAUACACCAACCCUCGCCUUAAGAAAUCAGCCAGUCUAAUUGUUUGUCCUGUUCAGAUCUCCUGCCCUAAGAACUUCUGAGUCCCACCUGGGGCAAUAAAAUAAAAUGCACUCAUUUUUCUUAACAAGAUGUUAUGUAAAAGAAUUGUCAGUUUCGUGUUCUUCCUUGCUUUGCUAAGUCAAUAAAAGUCAGUUUCACUUUUUAUCAUAAGGGCUUUCUCUAACUGAGCGGUGGCUUUUCCCCAGUUUAGAUGUUAUUCAUCUAAUCUCACAUUGUCUUGUCCUGUAUUGCCAUGAAAUUUAUUUGUCCACAAGGGGUAAAAAUGGGCACAGAAUCAUCAGCAAGUGAAUACCAAUAAAUUCAUGGCCAAAACCAGCCCCAAAGACCAACAAGUUUAAGGUCUUGCUUGGCUGGUGGCCUUCAGGGAAUGAACCUUAUCUUGGGUUGCCUCUGAAAAUGUUGCAAGAAUUGGCCUGUGGGCUGUCAUUCACUGAACCCCGCUCUAGUGCUUACCUCAUCUGCCAACAACACCGGCUGUUCUUCCUCUGUCCUGACUUUGUGUCCCAGAGAGUUAACUUGAGAAACACAAUCUCCAAAAACUCCUUUUGCUGAGGACUAUAGUUAUAGACAGUCACCCUCUGGUUGCAAGCCCAAGACAGGAGGCCCAGAAGCAACACAUCUGGCCAAACGGUAUCAACUUGCAUGAGUCAUCUCAGUCCAAAUCAACCUCUCCACCAGACUGGAGGUCCACUCCUUGCAGGAUUCUCAUUGUAACCCAGCUUCUUCUGCAUAUUUUACAGAAGGGUGCAACUCUGCCAAGAAUAGUCUGGAAUUACAGUGACCAGGUUGGGGAACUUUCAACAUGACCAAAAUGGCCCACCUUAAUGGAGCCUAGGACUGGGGAUCGACACACUUUUUCUGUAAAGGGCCCGAUAGUCAAUGUUUUAGGUUCCUGUGAGUCUCACAGUCCCUGUUGCAACCCUUCUACUGUGCCACUGGGGUGCAAAAGCAGUGAUAGACAGUACAUAAACAAAUGGGCAUGACUGUGUUCCAGCAAAAACUUAUUUACAAAAAAAGGCCCAUGGGCCAGAAUUGGCCUGUGGGCUGUCGUUUACUGAACCUUGCUCUAGUACUUACCUCACCUGCCAACAACACCAUCUUGGCAAAGCAGUAAAGAUGGGGCAUGGGUGGACGUCAAGACCUCAAGGCCCAUUUGAAAACCCCCAAAUGAAUUUUAUACAAUUAUUCCCUGUGAUGGAAUAUGAAUAUAUUUGGCUGUUUUUGUUUGUUGUUGGCUUUUUUCUUUUUUUUGUGCAUGUUUUCCCCCCAGAUUUGUUGAAGCCUUUCCUUGCUGAAGAGCAUCAAAACAAGGCAUUCAAUUUUGUAUUUCUCACUAGAGGAGUCCCGAUCUAACUGCUGUAAUGAUGAGUAUCCUUAUUUUCCUGAGAAGAUCAUUAGGAUCUCUGCAAAAUAUUGGUGCUUACUCAAAAUUUCCUCUGUCCAUACUCCCUCCACCCCCAAUCUUCAGACAGAGUAGAAAGGAUGGGUAGAUUUUUCAAAUUAAAGUUAGUUUAGCUUUCAGAAACACUUCAAUUUCCCUGGUUGAAAAUCCUUCCUUGGCCUUAUUGACAAUAAGAUCAACUCCUUUGAGAGUAUAUCAGUUCUCUACUUGUUAAGGUAACAAGCCUACCCAAGCACCUAGGACUUUAUCUCUAAUCCUAGACUCUUCCCUGUUAAAAGCAGUAAUAAGCAAAUACUAUAAUGGAUCCAUACAUCUACUAGUUUGUUUUUUGUUUUUAAAGUAGUCUUCAUGUCCAGCGUGAAGUCCAACGCAGGGUCUGAACCCAUGACCCUGAGAUCAAGACCUGAGCCAAGAUCAAGAGCUGGAUACUUAACUGACUGAGCCACCCAGGUGCCCCCAAUCUGCUAGUUUUAUGAUUAACAUACUCCUAAUCCAUCCUUGAACAACCUACGACUUGGUUUUCUAGAAAAAGUCAUCAUAGAAAGGCAACCCUUGGACCAUAAUGGAAAAAGACUUUUUUGGUAUUUCUGACACCCAGUAAAGCAGUAAAACUUCAGGGGGUUGAAUUUUGGAUCUGUGCUUCUCAAUUAAAGAAACACAAACCCUCCCUGGCAACUGGAAGGCCAUCCCAAACAGAAAUUUCCCAGUGAGGACCCUUAAGAAUCCUCCAGAAGCAGAAGAUCUUCAGGAGACUCUAGCCUGAGACCUUCAUAAGCAGAAGACAGCAUGGCAAAAACAGUUUAUUCUUCCAAAUCUUUAGAAUAAGGCCAUCUAGAUGUCUGAAGCCACAGACGAACAUGCUGUCCUUCAUCUAGCCCUCUGACUUUAAUUUUUGCCCCUUUCUUUCCACUUCUCAGUUUUGUAGUAAGGGUUUGCUGAUAGCAUAGCUGUUGCCCCGCAACAUUUCUCUUACUGAGAAAUGUCUUUGGACAUUGUCGUGUGAUUUUGUUGUUGUUCUUCCCAAAGGAGAUGUCAAGAGAUUAUCCAAGUCUAUUGUUAAGCACCUACACCUUCAAGACAGUCUGUCCUCCACUAGGGUGCUAUUUUUUUUUUUUAAUGUGGAAAUCAAGCCUUAACUUGUUCAAACUGUUUAGGUAUUUAAGAUCUCAACACCCUCUGCAAAACAUAUCUCACUGAAACAUGCCUCUAGGAACUUACAAAAUGAAACCACAUAGGCUAUUCUAGAAAAUUAGCUAGAGGAAAGAUUCUUUCACUUUUUAUGUGGAAUGUCUAAAUGGUGAUUUCUAUAAUGAGGGCUAUACCAUUGGAAAAGGAUGAGAGAAAUGUAUUAUUAAUCUUAGCUGAAGUUAUAAAUGAUCUUCCAAAGCUUUUGAGGUUUAUCAGACAAAUCUAAACUCUUUGGCCCAGUUGGAAAUUGACAAUCAGAUAGCUUUAGAUUUUCUGUUAGCUAGUCAGGGAGUUAUCUGUGCAGUUGCCAACAUUUUUGUGUUACACUUGGAUAAAUCUUUAUGAUCAGGUAUGUAUGACAAUCUAUUUUGAAGCUGAAGGAGAUGGCCACCUUUCUCUCUGAGGUAAACCCAAAUGGACUCUGGGACAUGAUUUUUUUUUUUUUUAAGUUUAUUUAUUUUGAGACAGAAAGACAGCAUGAGUUGGGGAGGGGCAGAGAGAAAGGGAGAGAGAAAGAAUCCCAAGCAGGCUUUGUGCUGUCAGUGCAGAGCUCCAUGCAGGGCUUGAACUCACAAAACUGUGAGAUCCUGACCUGAGCCAAAACCAAGAGUCAGACACUUAACUGACUGAGCCAUGCAGGGGUGCCUGAUUUUUAACUUGGGUUCAGUAGUGUGGAGUGUUACCAAGUCUAAACACCACCAUGGGUUUUGUCUUCAAGUGCAUAGUGGUUGCUAAGAAUAAGCUGUCCAGAGUCAGGAAUGUGGGUGUACAGGUGCUGUCACAUCACAUGAUCCAACAACUCACCGCUUGACAGAUGGAACAGGGAGGCCAGGUUAGUCCAACUCCAAACUGUUGUUUCUGAGAUGAUAAUUCAUCUAGAAUUCUGACAAUUAUGUAGAGGCUGCUUUUGUGGCCUCUGGUUUGGCCAGCGAAUGGGGAGGGCCCAUCCAUGAUGCAGUCACCAUCACAGAAUGUCUGUGACUUCCAUAGUGUUUUGUCAUUCAUGCAUCACCUCACCUAGAAAAUAACCAGUCCAAAGACUGUUUCUACUUCUGGUGUCUACCUUCUACCAGAACAAUAAAAACCAUGGGCUCAUUUCUCCUAAUAUGACAUCAUUUCAGGCUUCUCCGUGUGGUGUUCUCCCUUAUGGCAGGAGACGUUGCUUGCUCACUUCUCAGGGAGCAAGCUUUUCAUAGGAGCUAUGUUGGAUCUGUUUUAAUAUCCUACACAUAUGACCAAUAACUGGCCUAAAAUACUCUGAAAAAAAUCACAUUAUGUAUUCUUAGAACAGAAACACAUCAGAAUUAGCUUUGGAAAAGUUAUUUGAAUCCUGAUAGAGACCCAGCAUGCAUGCCCUUGUUAACUAGUUAAUUAAUCCACCUAGUUAUUCAACAACCAUUUUGGGUACUUGUGAUGUACAAGACCCCAUGCUAGGUGACCGGAGCGCCAGCAGGGAGCAGGACAGAUGUGAAGCCACCUUUGGGGAGCUCGAAGAGGUGUUUCUUGAAGGCAUGAGCAGUAUUUGGCUUCCUUCAUCAGUUCAGCCGGCUCUGCCCCACCCAUGGCCCAAGGUUGAGGGGGCCCUGCAGGAUUACCCAAGGCAGAAUAAUCUCCUUGCUAUAGAGCUGCUGCAGUGAGUUUGGGUGCCCAGAAUCCCUUUGAUGUUGUACAAGUAAAGAGCUGGAAGGGACUUUGGGACAUGGUUCUCCAACCUUAUAUUAUGUAAAUUAUACGAAGUAUAUUUACUACAUAAAUUAGUAAACUGAGGCCCAGAGAUACUGAGAAACUUGUCCAGGACCACAGUGCGCGCGUGUGUGAUUGUAUUUAAAAAGAGGACAUAAACAUCAUAUAUUUUAAAUAAAAUGAGUCAGAAUCAAGAUCAUUUAAAAAUGGGCUGAGAGAACCCCAUUUGGUUAUGAACUCUAAGAACUUAAUUUUAAAAAUAAAAGAUUGUUCUGGGGCGCUUGGGUGGCUCAACUGUUUAAGUGCCUGACUCUUGGUUUCAGAUCAGGUCAUGAUCUCGAGGUGCGUGGGUUUGAGCCUCACAAAGGGUUCAACACUGACAGCCAGAGCUUGCUUGGGAUUCUCUCUCUCUCUCCUUCUCUGUCUGCCCCUCCCUUGCUCAUGUUCUCUCUCUCUCUCUCUCUCAAAAUAAAUAAAUGUAAAAAUAAAUAAAAAUAAAAGAUUGUCCUGUUUGAACAUUGAAGCAUCAGUGUUUCCUCUGUUUUGGAACAUUAGGAUUUUUAAGACUUGGAUUUAAAAAUAUUGCAUAGAUUGCUAAAAAAUUACUCAUCCACUCUUUACAAAAACAGUCCUGUCACUGCAGUAUCAGUAGGAAUGGUACCUUACAGCCCAAAUCUGGUUUCUGGGGUAGGGAGAGUAAGACCCUUUUGAGAGGCAGCAGGCCCAUUUCCCUGCGAAGACAGGCUGUUCUGAGCCAGAGUCACUCAGAGAGCCAGACCCCUCGGCCCACCUCUUCUGUGUGGAGUUGGGCUCUGUCCUCCCAGACGUGCUGACCUCGGAGUGACCCUUCCAAAUCCACAUAAUCCUGUAAAGGUCAACCUGCAAACCCAUCACCAGCAGCUCCAUCACAGCCUGAAAACGUCCUGGGCUGGGAUGAGGGGGAGCUGGGGCCCUUUGAAACUGUCCCCACUCCUUGCCAGUAGAGAUGGUCUUUUAGGUCCGGUGUGAGGGUCCAGCAGAGAUGCUCCAGACCGAGGAGUCAGGAGGAUCUCCUUUCCUUCCCAAGCAGGAUCGUUGCAGGAAGAGGGAGUUCAUUUAGAACCAGCCUGGACUGAGAUUUGCUUUGUUUUCUUCUGGGGUCUAUUCUGCUUCGCAAAGGCACUCCAGGGGUUGCUGAGCACAGUGCACGGGUAAUGCAUAGGGAAUGGCAGCAUGCGAGGGGGAUAAACCCUAGGGAAUCUGAAGCUGGUUCCCAGACAGGAGAGUUGACUGGAGGGGGAUCAACAGAGACAAACUUAAUCCCUGUCCUCAGAGAGACCUGCCCACUGGGCUUUAGCAAAAGCCUCUGUGCUUUUUUUUUUUUUUUUUUGUUCCUGGAGAAUUUAGACAAAAUAGCCCUGAGCCCCAUGAGGCAGGGGAGCAAAGGCCCUCCCUGAGCUGGAUUGGGGCCUUCAUGGGUCUGACAAGGUCUGUGUCUGGAGGGACUGAGUGGGGCUGGCAAUUGGGAACAGAACCUAGUGUGGCAGGGAGACUUCAGUACCUUCAGAGCCGGGGAGACUCUUAGAGAUCAUCUAAUUCAAUCCCUUUCUUUUGGGGGAUGGACAGUGAGUAACAGAAAGGAGCAAGACCUGCCCAUGUUACACAGCACCUGCUGCAUUUCAAAUGCAGAAUUCCUGAUUCCCGGUCUGACCCUCUUCCCAGAUCCUCAGCCUGAGUGGGAGUUUAGGGUUUGUUCAUUCAUUUGUUCAUUCAUUCAUUCAUUCAUUCAUUCAUUCAGCUUUGUGCCUUGCCCUGUGUAAGAUCCAUCGAAGAGUCAGAAGAAACUCACCAUAUUAUCUUUGCACCCCAGGAACUUGAACUGUAAACACACAUGCACAUACACAUAUGUGCACACAUGUGCACAUGCAUGCACAUGCAAACGCAAGAACAAUUAAGUGGUGAUAGAGAGCAGUAUGUAGUCUCUUCUAUAAUGAACCAUCUGGACAGAGUUAUAGGAGAUCAAAGCAUGAGGAAUCGGUGUGUGCAGAGGUGAGGCCACUCUAAUUCUUACUUUUUUAAAUGUUUAUUUAUUUUGAGAGAGAAUGAGUGGAGGAGGGGCAGAGAGAGGGAGAGAGAGAGAAUCCAUGCUGUCAGCACAUAGCCUGAUGUGGGGCUCGAUCCCAUGGCCCAGAGAUCAUGAGCUGAAAUCAAGAGUUGGAUGCUUAACCUACUGAGCCACUCAGGCACCCCGAGGUCACUCUAAUUCUUUUAUUUUUUAUUUAUUUUAUUUAUGUUUUUUAACAUUUAUUCAGUUUUGAAAGAGUGCACGUGGGGCAGGGGCAGAGAGAGGGAGACACAGAAUCCGAAGCAGGCUCCAGGCUCUGAGCUGUCAGCACAGAGCCCAACGCGGGGCUCGAACUCAUGAGCUGUGAGAUCAUGACCUGAGCCGAAGUCGGCUGAGCCACCCAGGCACCCCAGACCACUCUAAUUCUUAAAGAGCACUUGUUACCCUGUACCUCAGUGACUGACUGCCCAUGUUGCCCUGGCUUGCAUAGUGCCACAGUUGCUCGGAUGGAAUUGAACUGAUUUGAAUUGAAUUGAAAAUGGGUCUUGUUUUGGGCAGAACUGGUUCCCUUGUAAGUAUGGGAUGAAGGCAAUGGAGGCUGGAUGGAAGAAACUCAGGGGCCCUCUCUGCCUGGUGUCCUGGAAUUCAGGCUCUGCCUGGAAGGCGUAGGACUUCCUCCAUGCCCUCCACACACUGGUGAGCUUCUGGAGGCCCCACGGGAUUCAACACCAUCAAUCUCUGGACUGCCCCCAUGAUGGUGGGGUGUCCAGCGAUGGGCUGCUCCAGAGCAGAGCAGUGGAAGCAACAGGAAGAUACUUCCCAGCCACCUACAAGGUUCCCAUGUCAAAAGAAGAAGGAGCAUCCUUCGUCCCUCUCCUGCCAAAUACUUACUGAGCGCCAGAUCUAGCACAGAGCCAUGAAUGGACAAGGCACAGUUCUUUCCCAGUUGAAAAGACAAAGAAAUAGUAUCUGGUGGAGAAAGAACAAGUUAGAGAUAAAUCAUGAAAUGAGCUUUGGCUCAGGACACGGGCUGUGCUGAAGGUCAGUCACAGGUGGACUUUUUGGCCCCAAUAGGCUCAUCUGUCCAGACCGGCCAUGGAGGAGCCACCCGUGGUGCUGCCAUCUCUUUAAACAUUUUGGGACUCAUCUUGGAGACUUGCCUUUUGAGGCUCAGCACAUUCUCUGGGUUAGCUUCAGGGGGCAAAACUGGACUUUUUGUGGAUGAGUAGGAGUUUUGGAAAGAACCAAAAGUCAUUCGUAGCAUAAUGUAGAGAGAAGUUGAACCCCCGUGUUGCACACCUGAAACUAAUGUCAACUAUAACUAUUAUGUGUCAAUGCAAAUAAAACAAAUUAAAAAAAAAAAGCCAUUCUAGCCAAAUGCAGGCCAUUCGAUUCAGUUUCGUUCAAUUCAACAAAUGUUUAUUGAGUGUCUACAGUCCGCAAGGCUCUGUACUAGGCUCUGGGAAUUAGACAAAUCCCAACUCUGCCAUCUUAGAACUGACAGCUUUGCAGGCAAGAUAGACACUAAAUUUAAAGACAAGUAAUGACUUGGGUAGCGAGUGCAUCAAAAACAUGGGGGAGGGGGAAGAGUAGCAUCCUGGGCUGAAGGAACAGCAUAAAAGAUAGUAAUAUUAGCCACCUAUUGGGCACCAACUAUGCAUCAGACACUAUUCAAAGUAGUUUUUAUAGAUUAUCUCAUUUAAUCCCUCCCACAAAGGUAUGUGGUAGGUGCCAUUAUUAUGCCCAAAUUAUAGAUGGGAAAACAGGCACAGCCAGAAUAAGUAGAUUUCCCAAUUAGUAAAUAGAAAAAUGGGGUUUCAAACCCAGGCAUUCUGGCUCCAGAGCCUACACUCUGAACCGCUAAGUGAGAGAGCUUGUGUGUGCUUAAAUGCGCUGGCAUCGUUUGAAUAAAAAUAACUUCUCAAGAGUAUGGGAAGGGAGACCUUUGGAAGCGUAAAUGGGCAUAAUCUCAGCAAAAUGAUGUGGCAACGUGUGUGUAAAGAGAAAUUGUGGUUUAUAUAUACAAUGGAAUACUACUUGGCAAUGAGAAAGAAUGAAAUAUGGCCUUUUGUAGCAGCGUGGAUGGAACUGGAGAGUGUUGUGCUAAGUGAAGUAAGUCAUACAGAGAAAGAUACCAUAUGUUUUCAGUCACAUGUGGAUCUUGAGAAACUUAACAGAAGACCAUGGGGGAGUGGAAGGAAAAAAAAAAAGUUAGAGAGAGAGAGCCAAACUAUAAGAGACUCUUAAAAACUGAGAAUAAACUGAGGGUUGAUGAGGGAUGGGAGGGCAGGGAGGGUAAUGGACAUUGAGGAGGGAACCUGUAGGGAUGAGCACUGGGUGUUGUAUGGAAACCAAUCUGACAAUAAUUUUCAUAUUUAAAAAAAAAGUGUUAAGGGUGUGUCUCCACAUUUUGUCUUCUAGAAACUUAUUCAAAGGAAAUAAUCAGGACUGUGCAUAAAGGUGCACCAAGGGGAAAUGACCAAAAUGUUCUUCAAUAGGGAUCAGUUAAAUAAAGUAUAGCACAGUUAUGCAACAAAAUAUUACGCAGCCUUUGAAAAUUAAAAAUUGUGUUUGUUCCUCUUGUUUUGUGUCUUCAGGGUGCUUUGAGGAAGUAGGAGAAGUCUGCCAAAAGAAAGACGGGGUGGGCCCUUCUGUUCAGAUAGCAAGGAGCCGUAGUUGGGACCACUGGGUAGUUCUGGAGGAGGCAGGGAGGCCAGGCUGAGGUGAGGCUUGCAGGGGGGAAGUGAGACUUGGCUCCAAGUAAUCAUGACCUAGGGGAGGGGGUGUGGCCAGCCAGCGGCCUGCCUGGGCCCUGGCACUGGCUCCAGGCUCUGGGUUUAAAGAGCUUUAAAAGCUUAUUAAAAAGGUUCCUUAGACAUCAAAUGGCUCUUAAAAAUCAAUAUUUUGGUGAUUUAAGUGCAAGGGAAUCAGAAACAUAUGGAUUAAAUUGCCCUCAAAUUAUACACACUUAAAAAAAAAAUAUGUUGGUCUUUAGCAAGCCCCAAAUAUUUGAAAAACAGAUAGAGAUGUUUUCCUCAUCUUCAGACAGAGCUCUGCUAGGUCAGCUUGAAGAGUCCAAAGAGGAGGUAAGUGGGAAUGGGGCAGGGCUCAGAGGCGGACGUAAGGAAACUUCUGUGGCUGGAAUCUUCCUGUAGAAAGGGCUGCGGGGGGCGGGGGGUGCAACUGUGUGCGUGUGCCUGUGUGUGUGUGUGUGUGUGUGUACGUGUGCGUGCACGCACGUGCACAUAGGCAUGUAAGGGUGAACGCAGGUGCACAUUCUCCUCUGGGUCUGCCGGGACCCUUCUGAGCCCCCUUCCCACAGCCAGCCUCGUCCCUCUGUGCCCUGGGCACAUGCAUUAGUGUAUCCAGUACUCAAGGUUUGAGGAGUGUGUGUCCCUUUGGUUUGUCCUUCCUUGGCCUGUCCUUUCUCCCCAGCAGCCAGGGCCCUCCUGCAUCAGAUACAGUGCUGCCUAUCCCUGGAAAGUUUGAGCUGGGAAGGACACAGGCAUCACUUAGCCCAGAAGUGAUCAAACUUUUCUCAGCUGUGGGCUUGGUCUGCACGUGAAAUGUUAGUAAUGAAGCCCAGCGUACCUGGUAAGACCAGAGCUACCAUGGCCCUGAUUCUCCCCCACAGAAUGCCUGGAGCUCUGAGAGCAGAGUUUGAAAACCACACACCUCAUCCCAAACUCUCAUUUUACAGAGAUGGAAACUGGGGCCCAAAGCAGUAGGGCCAGCGCCCCAGCAGGACCAGAAGAGAAGCUGUCACACACAUCAGUUCAGCCUAUCCCAAUCCAAACCAAUAAACAUUUACCGCACCUACCCCUUCUCCAGUCCUGCCCAGGUCCUGCUUGUGGUGGUGGGUGGCAGAGCCCUUGGGGCCUCAACUUCUCAGAUGGCUCUGGCUGUGCAGGGCCCCCACUGUGCUCAGUCCCACCUCUGGGAGAAGGCAGUUGGGUUGGGAGUGGGAAGCUCCCACACUUGAACUCUGCGGACGGAGCCUUGAGAAGGAGAUGGGCCACACCUGGAGGCCUGGGCUGAGGACAGUGUGGCUCCCAAGGGACAGCAUGGGGGCCAGCUGGUUCCCCACCUCUAGCUCCUCCAGCCUCUGUUUAGCAUUAAGCCCUUCAGGUGCUGCCCCUCUAGCCCCUCCCCCUCAACAUUGUCUGUGGCAGAGUCUGGGUUUGCCACCUGUAGGGCAGGGUGGAGAGAUCAGGGCCUUGGAAGGGAUGGUUGUGACUCAGAAGGCCCCUGGUGGUGUCCCUUGGGCACCCCACCUCCCUGACUAGACCCAAUUCUGGGCUGGGUGUUGACCCCCCCCCCCCCCAUGCCUCCA